AGUGAACGCUGGCGGUAGGCCUAACACAUGCAAGUCGAACGGCAGCACAGUAAGAGCUUGCACUUACGGGUGGCGAGUGGCGGACGGGUGAGGAAUACAUCGGAAUCUACUUUUUCGUGGGGGAUAACGUAGGGAAACUUACGCUAAUACCGCAUACGACCUACGGGUGAAAGCAGGGGAUCUUCGGACCUUGCGCGAUUGAAUGAGCCGAUGUCGGAUUAGCUAGUUGGCGGGGUAAAGGCCCACCAAGGCGACGAUCCGUAGCUGGUCUGAGAGGAUGAUCAGCCACACUGGAACUGAGACACGGUCCAGACUCCUACGGGAGGCAGCAGUGGGGAAUAUUGGACAAUGGGCGCAAGCCUGAUCCAGCCAUACCGCGUGGGUGAAGAAGGCCUUCGGGUUGUAAAGCCCUUUUGUUGGGAAAGAAAAGCAGCAGGUUAAUACCCCGCUGUCCUGACGGUACCCAAAGAAUAAGCACCGGCUAACUUCGUG
RNAcentral lists this ribosomal RNA (492 nucleotides) under uncultured bacterium. RNAcentral's name for it is "partial 16S ribosomal RNA". It matches the Rfam family "Bacterial small subunit ribosomal RNA", at positions 29 to 507 of the family's 1533-position model. The record is from RNAcentral.